UUGCGGCCAUAUCACAUUGAAGCAGCCGUUCUCGUCAGAUCACUGAUGUUAAGCAACGCUGAGCCGGGUUAGUUGUUGAAUGGGAGACCGAUGGGGAACACCAGUU
Acanthosepion pharaonis is the source of this 106-nucleotide non-coding RNA. The record is from the annotation of a GenBank genome assembly. NCBI's taxonomy places the organism in Eukaryota, Metazoa, Mollusca, Cephalopoda, Sepiida, Sepiidae.